CUGCCUUAAACUAAUGAGCAAGGAAAAAACAAACGACUGGUAGCACUGGUCGCGCGUCUUAUGUACGCAUGAAUUUUUGCAGGGUCAUAGGCUGGCCGGGAGCUGACACUGCCUACUUCGCAGGACUCUCCUGAGCGGGCCUCCCCU
Molecule: small nuclear RNA, 147 nt
Filed under: Klebsormidium nitens
Lineage: Eukaryota; Viridiplantae; Streptophyta; Klebsormidiophyceae; Klebsormidiales; Klebsormidiaceae
Description: U12 minor spliceosomal RNA
Rfam family: U12 minor spliceosomal RNA
About the family: Although the U12 sequence is very divergent from that of U2, the two are functionally analogous.
Source: Rfam by way of RNAcentral